Molecule: long non-coding RNA, 915 nt
Filed under: Olea europaea subsp. europaea
Lineage: Eukaryota; Viridiplantae; Streptophyta; Magnoliopsida; Lamiales; Oleaceae
Source: RNAcentral
UGCCGCAGAAGUAAAAUUGUAUUGCACAUAUUUCAAGUAUUAAUUGUCGCUACAUAAAAAAGAGAACCAUUCUCAAGGUUAAUUCUGCAUGUAACACUAAACAAGAAAUGACUUAAACAGCAAUGACAUGAAAAGUUUAUCAAGAGUACAGGUAGUAUGAUUUAUAUUCCACAUCAAGCACGGGCCAUCUUGUUACUACACGAUGAACACUCUUACUGCUUUGAUAUGCUCAGCUCUAGCUGGUGUAAUCUUCACGCACUUACCCUGGAACCACUUAUCACAUACAUCACAGCAUAUCCAAAAUUCAUCUUACGCAUAAUUCUCUCCACAGGCACCAUAAAGAGACUCACCUUGUUCCUCGUCCAAGCCCUUACUUAAGUCCAAAAAAGAUUUCAUACCAAGAAGUCGAGUUAAUUGCUUGAAGAGACUUAACUAUACCUGCAAAGUAAAAUUCCAACUUACAUUAUGUAAAGCACUAAAACAAGUACAUAUAUCAAUUUUUUACUGACGUUUAUGACAGAAAAUCACUUCACCAGCAAUAAUUUCUAUUGCACUAGUUACAUAAACUCGAUAACGACUAACUCCAAGACAGAGACAAGCAGAAUCAUCCAGAGGUAUGGAUUGUGGUAUACCAUGAAACUCUUGCAAGGAAAUUUUCUGGCAAUAAUGAGACAUGUUUUUAUUUUUUGCUUAACUGAUAUCAAAUGUAAAAGACCAUCUGGUGUCAAUAACUUCAAAAUUUCUCAAGGCUGAUGAAUCUUUUGCGAGCAGUUGAAAAUCUGUAAUAGAACGAACGGGAACCAGCACCAGAACUUUUGUCAUCAACCCAUAAAUGAUGAAGAAAGAAACUUAAAGUUAAAAUAUCUAUUCAGUAAAAAGAAUCAUAACUGAAAAUUCUGCAAAAUUCGAAAGAAG